Pristis pectinata (smalltooth sawfish) is the source of this 396-nucleotide non-coding RNA. NCBI's taxonomy places the organism in Eukaryota, Metazoa, Chordata, Chondrichthyes, Rhinopristiformes, Pristidae. The record is from the annotation of a RefSeq genome assembly.
AUGUGGUCCUUAUUUUCUUUGCUGAUAAUAAUGGCCCUUCUGCACGGCUCGACUGCCGAAGAUUCGGUGCUUCAGGAUCCGCCUGAACUGACUGUUCAGGAAGGUCAGAUAGUAACCCUGAACUGUAGUUACCCAGAAGCUGCUGAUACUCUCUUCUGGUAUAUGCAGUAUUCUGGCGAAUCUUUGAGAUAUUUGUUGAAAGAAUACAGCACGGGGAACGGUGGACAGCGGUCCCCGGAGUUCCCAGACCGAUUCUCGGCUGCUGUGAAGAAGGGAAGUAGGACGGUUCCUUUAAAUAUAUCUGGGGUUCAUGUCUCCGACUCCGCUGUAUAUUUCUGCUCCAUGACGCCCACACUGCCACGGAGCUCCAGAGGCCUCCGACAAAAACCGACCUGA